UACGGAAGGUCCGGGCGUUAUCCGGAUUUACUGGGUGUAAAGGGCGCGUAGGCGGGGAUGCGAGUCAGAUGUGAAAUCUAUGGGCUCAACUCAUAAACUGCAUUUGAAACUGUAUUUCUUGAGUACUGGAGAGGUAGACGGAAUUCCUUGUGUAGCGGUGAAAUGCGUAGAUAUAAGGAGGAACACCAGUGGCGAAGGCGGUCUACUGGACAGCAACUGACGCUGAGGCGCGAAUGCGUGGGGAGCAAAC
Molecule: ribosomal RNA, 250 nt
Filed under: uncultured prokaryote
Description: partial 16S ribosomal RNA
Rfam family: Bacterial small subunit ribosomal RNA
Source: RNAcentral